AGGUAGCGAAAUUCCUUGUCAGGUAAGUUCUGACCCGCACGAAAGGUGUAACGAUCUGGGCACUGUCUCAACAACCCGCCCGGCGAAAUUGUAGUACCGGUGAAGAUGCCGGUUACCCGCGACUAGACGGAAAGACCCCAUGGAGCUUUACUGUAGCCUAAUAUUGGAUUUCGGUAUUUCACGUACAGGAUAGGUGGGAGACUGGGAAGCACAGGCGUCAGCUUGUGUGGAGUCGACCUUGGGAUACCACUCUUGGAGUGCUGGAAUUCUAACCUGCGGCUUUGAAGCAAGUCGGGGGACAUUGUUAGGUGGGCAGUUUGACUGGGGCGGUCGCCUCCUAAAGAGUAACGGAGGCGCUCAAAGGUUCGCUCUGCAUGGAUGGAAACCAUGCGUCAGAGUGUAAACGCAAAAGCGAGCCUAACUGCGAGAAUGACGGUUCGAGCAGUAACGAAAGUUGGAGUUAGUGAUCCGGCGGUAUGUGAAUGGAAAUGCCGUCGCUCAACGGAUAAAAGCUACCCUGGGGAUAACAGGCUGAUCUCCCCCAAGAGUCCACAUCGACGGGGAGGUUUGGCACCUCGAUGUCGGCUCAUCGCAUCCUGGGGCUGAAUUCGGUCCCAAGGGUUUGGCUGUUCGCCAAUUAAAGCGGUACGCGAGCUGGGUUCAGAACGUCGUGAGACAGUUCGGUCCCUAUCUGUCGUGGGCGUAGGAUAUUUGCAAGGAGCUGUCCCUAGUACGAGAGGACCGGGAUGGACGCACCUCUGGUGCACCAGUUGUCACGCCAGUGGCACAGCUGGGCAGCUAUGUGCGGAACGGAUAAACGCUGAAGGCAUCUAAGCGUGAAGCCGCCCUUAAGAUAAGAUAUCCCUUCUGUUUACAGAGUAAGACCCCUUGAAGACUACAAGGUUGAUAGGCUCAAAGUGUAAGCACGGUGACGUGUUUAGCUAGCGAGUACUAAUCGGUCGAGUGCUUAACCUU
RNAcentral lists this ribosomal RNA (975 nucleotides) under human gut metagenome. RNAcentral's name for it is "bacterial LSU rRNA". It matches the Rfam family "Bacterial large subunit ribosomal RNA", at positions 1954 to 2925 of the family's 2925-position model. The record is from RNAcentral.